Long non-coding RNA from Pezoporus flaviventris, 1477 nucleotides. RefSeq lists it as uncharacterized. The transcript is spliced from 4 exons. Lineage: Eukaryota; Metazoa; Chordata; Aves; Psittaciformes; Psittacidae. The record is from RefSeq and is a predicted model, not a curated record.
AUUCAGCACAAGGCUUUGUGAAUGCAAAGAUGAAAUUAUUGAUUUGCUAUGGGAAGUUGUGCAUGUUAGAAACUUGCAUAAAUUCCAAGUUGUCACUGGACAAAUUCAUAGAAGAAAAAUCAAAUAUUCCUCAUUAGUUCUGUAAGUCCUGAGUACGCUAAUAGGCGGAAAUUGGGAGAGGAACUAUUACUGUGUGCAUUACUAUGUGCUUCUCUUUUUCUUAACCCUUUCCUUAGCAUCUGGUGCUGGACAUAGCAAGAGAUGAGAUUCAGUGACUGGUCUGGUACAGCCACUGUUACUGGAGGGUACUGUUGUGUUCUGAUUAUUUAGGCAGUGUCUGUACAGAAGGUAAUUGCUAUAUAAAUGCUAACUAACAUAUUGAUUGUUGCUUUUCAAAACCUCCAAGAAGACCCUUGAUUGAUGCAGCUCACUGAAGGAACCACUUCUGCAUGGAAUUAAUUGAUCCAAUAACUUACUUUACUUCUCCUUCCAUCCUAACAUGAUUAGUGGGAGCACACCGCUGCACAUGAAUCGGUUCCAGGAAACCCAGCAAGGCUCUAUUAUACUUCUAAUUCUACAGCAAUAAUACAUUUAAUAAUAUUUGUUUUCUUACCGGCUCCCCCUUUUGUCCGUCCACUCCAAUACCAGGAUUUCCCUAAUUGACAGAAAAAGUACACAGGUUGAAGAUAACCAGAAAAUGCUGAUAUUAGAAUUUAAUCAAAUAACUCAUUUGAAAAACUUAGUAACAAACAACCAUAAGAGACAUUUCGAAUAUUUGUAUAAAUUAAUCUAUUAUUUUAAUAACAACGUCAGGAAAAUCAUGGCCUACCUGUUCACCUGGCAAACCAGGGUAACCCGGAAUACCCUUUAAAAGAGAAUGAAAACAAACAAGUUAGUAUGUCUGAUUUAGACAUCUUUGUCUGAAAAUCACAUACUCUUGCCAGCAGCACCUAGAGGCAGAAUUUCCUCUUGGGAUGAGGAAAUCGCAAUUUACUUCACCUGCUCACUGCUUUCAGCAGGGUUGAACUCUGGCUUCCCACUUUUCACUUCCUGACUCCCACAAGGUGCCCUUGGGGAAAGCGAAUAAGGAGAAAGCAGUAGCAGCAUUCCUCCAUGACCACAGACUGCCAGAUGAAAUGUGUCCACCCAGGCAUGGGAAGGAAAAAUAUAUGCUCCAAUUCCUGAACUUCCAAACUCAUAAGACUGCCUGAUGAAGUGUCCUUCUCCAGCAUCCUAAUAUGCCUACCUUUUCUUUCAAAUUUAAUCACUUUAAAAGUGUGCUAGUUUCCUGAUACUGGCUGCUCAAAUCCUGAAGUCAGAAUGGAACAGAAAAGAUAAAGACCCAGGCAAGAUUAAGUGUGCACAGAGCAGUCAUGAAUAGGUAUGUAUACAAAAUAGCACAUGAAACUGUAAAAGCAUGAUUUGGGAAGAGAUCUACUAAUACACUUGUGUGAUCAACCACCAAAAAUCUUAGAGU